Non-coding RNA from Erinaceus europaeus (western European hedgehog), 172 nucleotides. The record is from Rfam. NCBI's taxonomy places the organism in Eukaryota, Metazoa, Chordata, Mammalia, Eulipotyphla, Erinaceidae.
CAGUUUUCUGAUCAUCUGAGGAUCAGCUAUUAGAAAAAGAACGAUCAGUCGUGUUCUUUGUACCUGAUCGACUUAAUACAGGCGCUACUGAUUCCAACUACUUCAGCCCAAAUCUUUCUGAAACAAUGAAAUACGCAGGCUAUAUCUUAGCUCUGCAGCUUUGUGUCAUGUU